AUGAGAUCCCUGGCACAUAAACAGAAGAUCCUUGAGCGCUGACAAGCAGUGUAUGUGAAUAUUAGAAAAGCAGAAGGAGGAGCAUGUUCCAGUAAAUACUGCCCUAACCCACUUUCACAAUAUCUGAGCAGAGAUUGGAGGCAGAGCGGUGACAGCCAAUGACUACAAUCAUUUUCUUUAUUCAUAUCAUCGUCACCAUAGAGAGUUCACAAUGUUAUCUUGGACACAGUUGCCAGUGAUGCUUGUGACGUUAUCUAAUCAGUUCCUGCUAGACGAAGGCAGCCACCCAAUCCAUCCAUGGGAACCUCUGGAAUCUUCCUCCGAUACCAAACUUCAGCUUCACUUGGAUUUCAUUUUAUCCUGCAGUGAUGUACACUGACCAGGCAUAACAUUUUAUUUACUACAAAUGCAUAACAUCAUUCAUUCCUUCAUUUUACUCUUCCUUUGUGAGAUGCAGUUUGAAAACCUGAGAUCCUUCACAGCAGGAAACGUUCUCACCAUUCUUCUGUCCUCUCCCCCCUAUGUUGUGUUUUUCCUCCUCCCCAUGUGCUUCCUAAACGUGUGGCUCACGCGAUUGGUUGCAGGGGGCGGAAAGUUGGCCAAUAGGAGGGCAGUUACCAGGCAGCCUGAGCCGUGUUUGGAGGCUGACUGGAGGCUCUCACAGCUGUUUCAUUGAAAAGCAGCAGGCCAUAAUAACAAGGGCCUCUUACCAUGCACACAUGGGGACUAACUCACGCAAAAGACACACAGAGAAGACUUGGUGCCAACAAAGUGAAGUUAUCUGCACAACUUCAUCUGCACUUCUACAUAUAUAAAUGCUGGUCUUUCAUGGCUGAUGGUGGUGUACACACUACUGUACUUGUUUGUGUUGUCAAUUCUUCUAUUAAUGCACUAAAUUAAAUCUUCAUUCU
Molecule: long non-coding RNA, 911 nt
Organism: Xiphophorus couchianus (Monterrey platyfish)
Lineage: Eukaryota; Metazoa; Chordata; Actinopteri; Cyprinodontiformes; Poeciliidae
Exons: 3
Source: RefSeq, a predicted model, not a curated record